AAUGAAACCUGAUCUGUUUUUCUUCGCUUUCUUUUUUACCUUCCCCUGAACGGGAGGCCAUUCGUCGUGUGAAAAUGAAAGCGAAGACGAACACCGAAGCCUCCCAACCGGGAGGCUUUUUUUUU
Molecule: non-coding RNA, 125 nt
Organism: Triticum urartu
Lineage: Eukaryota; Viridiplantae; Streptophyta; Magnoliopsida; Poales; Poaceae
Source: Rfam